UAUGCAAGUUAUCUUUUGUAUUAAACCAUUCCAUAUAGAUGGAAAAAUGGAAUAGUUUGGAUGCUUAGAUCCUUUGCCAGGACCUGCCAGCACAAGGGCUUCUUUGUAGGCUUGAUAGAGGUUGCCUGAGCUGGAAGCUUGGUCUGCAGUUUUCCUUUUAUAUCUGUCUCUAAAGAAAGAUAAUGCCUCUCCCUCUAUCUUCUAUUCUCAUACCUUCAUAUGUUCAAUAGUAAUGAUCUUUUAUGAACACAAGAGGAAGGAUUCAGAGUGUUAUCCCUGUCCUGGGAAAAUGCAUGAAUAAAUACAAUUGUUAGAGAAGUGGUAUCUGACUGCAAGGAAGCCAUUCAAAAUACUUGAGUGUUUUGUAAUAUGAUUAUGAUUCUUCUGUGGUGAAUUUAACCUUGCCAAAUGAAGUAGCUGGAGCAUGCCAGUCAUGUUUUUCAGCCACACAGGUGCUGCCCUGUGUAGUCUCAUUUUUUGUUUCUUGCCAUCAGCAACUCAAUCAGUGAUGACAUCCCUUUUCCCCUGCUCCCCAAAUCUCUUGCUAUGUGCUCAUGUUUGUAUUAGUUCUUUGGGAAAGGUGCCACUAAGUUGCACUGAAAGAUAUUGCCUUUUGCCAAGUAAUUCAUAUACUGAUUAAUGAUAAACUGUCUCAACUUAUUUUAGGUUUUUCCAUUUGUUUAGUCUCAUACUGCUGCAAAGCUGCCACUUAGGUGUAUUGAGGGUUUUCUCCCUCCUGCUGGGCCUUUGGAGCAAGCUGAAGAGCUUCAGUUAUUUCUCUGAAAAAUGUAAAUCAGAUAUAUGGUAUAACUGAUGCUCUCAGAGGAGGCUUUACAGGCUCUGUACAUAUUGGUUUGUUAGGAUUGAGAUGUGUGUGCUGAUUAUUUUUAUGGUUUUCUAUUCCAACACAUUACCCUGUGCUCCACUGAGAAUUGAGCUGGGUUUUUUGCUGUUGUACCAGUUUCUUGCACAAGAUAAGGCUGUUGUUUCAGCAGUGUGUGGAGCCUGUGCCUUAAGUGGGUGUUUUUGUGCCUUCCAGCAGAAAUAGGCAGACAUACCAAUUCCCUGGAGACAGGCCAAUGAUGGUGCUCUUUGCCUUUCCUUCUAGAAUGUCUUCUGUUGUGGCAGGUUUUGUACUCACUUUUAAAAAGUGAUCAGUUUUUGGUACCAUUGCUAUGUGUGUUUAUCAAUGAAGCUGCAUAAUAUGAAUAAAUCACACAGAAAGGUUCUGGAGAACACCUUGGUGAACUAGUUUUGCUGCUGGAGGCGAGUUCAGUGAAUAAAUUUUUAUGAAAACUACAAGAGAUAAUAGACAAUUAUCUAAACAUUUUGGAAUCAGAUAAUUUGGUUCUAAACCAGUUAAAAUUUUGGUUUUAAAUGUUUUGUCUGAGAUACGAACUAAUUUUGGAGAGGCAUGGAUAACCAAAAUAUCAAAAAUUAUUAUUAGUAAGUGCCUGAAAAUUAUGAAGAGAUGGCUGUACUAUGGUUAUAACUGUGGAGUCAUUAAUGAUUUUGCUUCUGUUUUGCUGUCCUAAUGAUAUUUCCAGGUGUGAUACAACUGAAUGAUGUCUCAGGCCAUCUUUAAAUUAGGAUUCAGUGAUUGCUCUGUUUAGUGAUGAGCCUGUUAGCUUUAUGUAUGGAAAUAAGAAUAAUUCUUUUAUCCCAACAGCAUAAAAAAUAAUUAGGUUUCAUUUUUAGAGCUGUGUGACAUUUAUUUCUAUUCUGUCUUGAUUUCAAGCAGCAGCUGUAAAUAAACUAAUGCUGGUCCUUAAUUAUGUGAGUUUCUGCUGUGAAAUCUGGAGUUCUGAAACCUUGAACAUGGUCUGUGGUUUAGCCUUGGCCCCUGGGUGGGAAGAAGAGAGAAAGCCUCCCUCUGUUCAUGGAAACCUAACUGAUGUGUUAUUGUCUCUGAUAAGACCUCAGGAGUGAAGUAAUGCUUUGAAGUGUUUGAAAACAUUAAUCCUCACAUGUGAAUGUAAACCAAAUGUCAUCUCCAUUCUCUGAGUGGGGAAAUAUGCCCUCACUUUUUCCUGGGACACCUGCCUCCCCACACUGCCUAAUGUGGGUUUUUUUGGCAUGCUCUUCUUUAAUACCUGUGGAGCAGAGUGACUUAAUAAAUACUUAAUAUAUGAAAAUUGUUCAGAUAUUUGUGUUUGUUGCCUUACCACAUGUGCAUGCUUUGCUAUUUUCAGCCUUCUGUUCACACUUGGACUUUGUCUUGCCAGCUGUGUGGAAUGCUGGUGUAACAUCUUCAAGGCAGAGUGUGCAGGUCUGCCUAGCACAGUGUCAAGUGCUGCAAACUGGGCAACAAGGCUUGAGUGAGUUUCCAAAAGUCAUGGGCAACUGAGAGCAGGAUUAUUUCCCUUGAGCAGGAUUACUUUCCUUAGGUACUUUAUAAGGAACUUGUUGAACAAGUCUAAGAUAGAUAUGGAAGCCUGGGAUUUCCUGCCAGUAAUGGUGAUUUAAUAUGAAAUCAGUGCCACCUGCACUUUAUAGCUAGGCAUUCAAGGACUCCUUGCCCCAAUAAAUGGACUUGUAGCAGUUUUAGCUCACAGGUGAGCCUUCCCAGUGUUAUAACCCAGCCUGUGUAUUUGCAGGAAUCUUUGAGCAAAAUGGUGCUGCUGUCAUCUCCCUCUUCUCUUCCACGGUCCCUUGGUGCUCUGUGUUGAAGUGAGAUUCUGUCCAGUGUCAGAAUUUGCUGAUACCAAGUCAAGUGAAAGAAUACAUUUGCCUCACAGCUUGUCUUUUCUUCAGAUACUACUUUACAGGGAUACAGAAAGGUCUCAAUAGUUGAGGAAGCUGUUCUCUUUUAAUCCCCAGUGAAUCAUCUGUUUUUCUUUUUCUCCACAUACCGUGCUUGCAGGGAUUAUCUCCUGCAGUUCCUUUUGUCUGCAGGUGGUCCUCUUCAGCCUGGCUGCCUCUGUUCUGCUACAGCUUCCCCUGAGCACAAAUCUUUUCCAGCCUGUCCUGGGGUGAUGGGGAAGGUACUGGAUUGCUAAUGGUCUUGACUGGAAAUGGGAGCAGUACAGCAUGACAAAACACAGGUAUAGUUAUGGCUCAGUCCAUCUCCUAGAGGAUGGAGCCGCUCAUAGUUAGAACCACUCUGUCAGAUGGUACCUGCUGGUUCCUGCAUGGAAAAUUUAGUGUUGAAAUGGAUUUCCAGCUUCUGUUGCUAAAAGUUUCCUGGAAUAUGUCUCCAUCACUUGUUACCAGAUCUCCUUACCUUCACACCAAGCCAUGACUAUUUGCAAAGGAAGCACUGGGUGGUUUUGUGUGGGUGACUUAAACAUUAUUGUACUGGCAUUGGGGGAGGCUGUUGUUCUUGGCUGGAGCCAUAUUUUAAUGCAGCUGAAAUCUGGUGUAGAAAUUAAUGUAGAUGCCAGUUUCCCUAGUGUGACAAGGUAGAGACCAUAGGAGUAGGAACUAAUUUUGGCAAGCUCUUUUGACGGGGUUGAGACAGGCAUUAGUGGGAUGCACUCAGCCCAGAGCAGCUGCAUUUUGCCUUCCAUAUCCUCAGAGGAGCAGUGGAACACAAAACAAAUGCAAGAAUGUUCCUGUAGAAGAUGAAAAGAAAUAAAAGACAGGGCAGUCUAGCAGUUGACUGAAUGCACCCAUGAGGAUGGAAAGGCUAAGAAACGAAAAACUAUUUGAAGCACUUCUAAAGUGGGAGUCUCGGUGACGCUUCAGCAAUGACUUGUUUAGGUUCCUGAUGCUCUUAUCCCACUGUGUGAAUAAAUAUGCAGACCUGGGCUGAUGGAACACACCAGUCAAAGGAAGUUCCCACUGGGGCAUACGUAGUCCGAAAACUUCCAUAAAUUGUUCUGUAAUAUGACAGUUUCCAAUUAUGGGUUUUCAUAAUAAGAGGCUUACUGGCAUCCAGUAAUGCAAGUUAGCUGUGGAAAUUUUUAUUGCUUUUCUUGGCCCCUGUGCACUUCCUGAACAGUAUGUGUUUUGUCCGAGGUGUCCCAUUCUGGGCUUUGAAAGUGUGUCACAACAUGCGUGGGGCUGAGACCCCUGGGAGCUGGCACUUAGAGCCCGAUCAAAAGGAGCUAAACCUGCAAGUGAGGGGCUUAAGGUAUCAGCCCCAGCAUGUAGAUGCUUGGUUGAUUUGUUUGUUUCCUGCCUUGAUGAGGUAAAGUGUUGAUCAGUAAGAGAUUUUCUUAGACACAUGGGAAAUAAUUUUUAUACAGUUCUGAAGAAAACUUCAAACCCUUGGGAAGUAUAGGUAUGCAAAUAUCUUGGAUAGCCCUUCCAGUACUUUUUGAUUAGUUUGCAUUGUCAGCCCACUUUCUUCUUACGGGCACGUGCGGGUACAGGCUUGUUUGGUUUGUGAAAUGUUGAAUAAAUCUUCAAAGAGUAUCAUUGUUUCCAGGAAAUAUGUUUUUCAUACAUGCUUGUAUUGUUUAAAAAAAAAAGGCAGUAAUGGAUAAUACUUUGGUUUGUGCAAGCCAACGGUGUGGAUUUGCUUGGCAUUGCAGCUUUCAAAUGAUACGCACUCAGCACAAGUAGAUUCUUUCCUGAUUACAUGCAAACUCUGUGUAAUUAUUGCAUCUUUUAAAAUAUGUAUUGAUUCAUGGUAUUGUCUUGAAGUUGUAAAUGAUCCAAAAGCCUGUCUGCUUCUUUACAUCAGAUGCAAACUGGAUGUCUUUUUGCAGUAAUUUGCUGGAAAUGCUGGGAUUUCAGAGAAUCAUACCUUUGAAGAUGUAACCUUAGGUUGCUUUCUUCUUCUAAUCCACCCCUCUUGAGUGAUUUAUUCUAGGGACUGUGCAUCAUAGGUUUUGUCCUGGCACCCAUUUUUGUAGUGUUGCAGUGCUGGUGCACAUUACCAGAAAAAAGAUGGCUGGGUGACAGUUUU
Non-coding RNA from Sturnus vulgaris (Common starling), 4855 nucleotides. Lineage: Eukaryota; Metazoa; Chordata; Aves; Passeriformes; Sturnidae. The record is from RefSeq and is a predicted model, not a curated record.